Molecule: ribosomal RNA, 506 nt
Filed under: uncultured bacterium
Lineage: Bacteria
Description: partial 16S ribosomal RNA
Rfam family: Bacterial small subunit ribosomal RNA
Source: RNAcentral
GACGAACGCUGGCGGCGUGCCUAACACAUGCAAGUCGAGCGGUAACACAGAGGAGCUUGCUCCUUGGGUGACGAGCGGCGGACGGGUGAGUAAUGCCUGGGGAUCUGCCCGAUAGAGGGGGAUAACUACGGGAAACUGUAGCUAAUACCGCAUAAUGUCUACGGACCAAAGUGGGGGCUCUUCGGACCUCAUGCUAUCGGAUGAACCCAGGUGGGACUAGCUAGUUGGUGAGGUAAUGGCUCACCAAGGCGACGAUCUCUAACUGGUUUGAGAGAAUGACCAGUCACACUGGAACUGAGACACGGUCCAGACUCCUACGGGAGGCAGCAGUGGGGAAUAUUGCACAAUGGGCGCAAGCCUGAUGCAGCCAUGCCGCGUGUGUGAAGAAGGCCUUCGGGUUGUAAAGCACUUUCAGCGGGGAGGAAGGGUCACUAGUUAAUACCUAGUGACAUUGACGUUACUCGCAGAAGAAGCACCGGCUAACUCCGUGCCAGCCGCCGCAGUAA